UACGUAGGGUGCGAGCGUUAAUCGGAAUUACUGGGCGUAAAGCGUGCGCAGGCGGUUCGUGAUGACUGAUGUGAAAGCCCCGGGCUCAACCUGGGAACUGCAUUGGAAACUAGCGGGCUGGAGUGUGGCAGAGGGGGGUGGAAUUCCACGUGUAGCAGUGAAAUGCGUAGAGAUGUGGAGGAACACCGAUGGCGAAGGCAGCCCCCUGGGCUAACACUGACGCUCAUGCACGAAAGCGUGGGGAGCAAACAGG
Molecule: ribosomal RNA, 253 nt
Filed under: uncultured bacterium
Lineage: Bacteria
Description: partial 16S ribosomal RNA
Rfam family: Bacterial small subunit ribosomal RNA
Source: RNAcentral